UACGUAGGCAGCAAGCGUUGUUCGGAAUUACUGGGCGUAAAGAGUGUGUAGGCGGUGCUCUAAGUUCGGUGUGAAAUCUCCCGGCUUAACUGGGAGGGUGCGCCGGAAACUGGAGUGCUCGAGCGUGGGAGAGGAAAGCGGAAUUCCUGGUGUAGCGGUGAAAUGCGUAGAUAUCAGGAGGAACACCCGUGGCGAAGGCGGUUCUCUGGGACGGUACUGACGCUGAGACGCGAAAGCGUGGGGAGCGAACAGG
This 253-nucleotide ribosomal RNA is filed under the name uncultured bacterium. RNAcentral describes it as "partial 16S ribosomal RNA". It matches the Rfam family "Bacterial small subunit ribosomal RNA", at positions 524 to 776 of the family's 1533-position model. The record is from RNAcentral.